Molecule: ribosomal RNA, 766 nt
Filed under: uncultured bacterium
Lineage: Bacteria
Description: bacterial SSU rRNA
Rfam family: Bacterial small subunit ribosomal RNA
Source: RNAcentral
AUUGAACGCUGGCGGCAGGCCUAACACAUGCAAGUCGAGCGGCAGCGACUUAACUGAACCUUCGGGGAACGUUAAGGGCGGCGAGCGGCGGACGGGUGAGUAAUGCCUGGGAAUAUGCCCUGAUGUGGGGGAUAACUAUUGGAAACGAUAGCUAAUACCGCAUAAUCUCUUCGGAGCAAAGAGGGGGACCUUCGGGCCUCUCGCGUCAGGAUUAGCCCAGGUGGGAUUAGCUUGUUGGUGAGGUAAUGGCUCACCAAGGCGACGAUCCCUAGCUGGUCUGAGAGGAUGAUCAGCCACACUGGAACUGAGACACGGUCCAGACUCCUACGGGAGGCAGCAGUGGGGAAUAUUGCACAAUGGGGGAAACCCUGAUGCAGCCAUGCCGCGUGUGUGAAGAAGGCCUUCGGGUUGUAAAGCACUUUCAGUAGGGAGGAAGGUAGUGUAGUUAACACCUGCACUAUUUGACGUUACCUACAGAAGAAGCACCGGCUAACUCCGUGCCAGCAGCCGCGGUAAUACGGAGGGUGCGAGCGUUAAUCGGAAUUACUGGGCGUAAAGCGCAUGCAGGCGGCCUGUUAAGUCAGAUGUGAAAGCCCGGGGCUUAACCUCGGAAUUGCAUUUGAAACUGGCAGGCUAGAGUCUUGUAGAGGGGGGUAGAAUUUCAGGUGUAGCGGUGAAGUGCGUAGAGAUCUGAAGGAAUACCAGUGGCGAAAGCGGCCCCCUGGACAAAGACUGACGCUCAAUGCGAAAGCGUGGGAGCAACAGG